Molecule: unclassified non-coding RNA, 123 nt
Filed under: uncultured Ascomycota
Lineage: Eukaryota; Fungi; Ascomycota
Description: sequence contains ITS1
Source: RNAcentral
GUUACGUAUUCGGCAUCGAUGAAGAACGCAGCGUUACGUAUUCGGCAUCGAUGAAGAACGCAGCGUUACGUAUUCGGCAUCGAUGAAGAACGCAGCGUUACGUAUUCGGCAUCGAUGAAGAAC